This is a small nuclear RNA of Ailuropoda melanoleuca (giant panda), 93 nucleotides long. The record is from Ensembl. NCBI's taxonomy places the organism in Eukaryota, Metazoa, Chordata, Mammalia, Carnivora, Ursidae.
UAAAACUUGAAAUUUUAAAAACUGGAAUGAUACAGAGAAGAUGAACCCCUGCACAAGGAUGAAAUGCAAAUUCAUGAAGCGUUCCAUAUUUUU